AUAGGAACCAUCCAAUCAAUGGCUCUUCAGGAGUUCUCUCCUUUAAUCAAUAUGGAAAUCUCAUUCUCUAUAGCAAUCAUAACCAGACAGUUUCUGUAUGGUCUGCAAAUGUCUCAUUGGAAGUUGCAGAUACUUGUGUAGCUAAGCUUUUGGAUUCAGGAAACUUGAUUUUGGUUCAAGAUAGAAGCGAAAGAAUUGUGUGGCAAAGCUUUG
RNAcentral lists this unclassified non-coding RNA (213 nucleotides) under Hevea brasiliensis (rubber tree). The record is from RNAcentral. Lineage: Eukaryota; Viridiplantae; Streptophyta; Magnoliopsida; Malpighiales; Euphorbiaceae.